Long non-coding RNA from Tupaia belangeri chinensis (Chinese tree shrew), 207 nucleotides. RefSeq lists it as uncharacterized. The record is from RefSeq and is a predicted model, not a curated record. The transcript has 3 exons. Lineage: Eukaryota; Metazoa; Chordata; Mammalia; Scandentia; Tupaiidae.
CGGGGAGGAAGGCGAGCGAAGGCCGUCACCUGGCGGGCUCCAGUCGGUGGAACAAGAACAUGAAUGCUGGAGCUGCUGCAGCUGUUUUGUAAUCAUGAAGAAGACCUCAGGAGAAUUACACAGAACCUGACCCUGACAUCCUGGAGUUGCUGACCAGUGAUCACAACUGCCUCACUCUACGAAAAAAGAAAAAAGUAAGUCCAGCCC